UACGAACUGUGCGAACGUUAUUCGGAAUCACUGGGCUUACAGGGUGCGUAGGCGGCCUUUCAAGUCAGGUGUGAAAGCCCCCGGCUCAACCGGGGAAUUGCGCUUGAAACUGGAGGGCUCGAGUCAGCUAGAGGUGCACGGAACUUCCAGUGGAGCGGUGAAAUGUGUUGAUAUUGGAAGGAACACCGGAGGCGAAAGCGGUGCACUGGGGCUGGUCUGACGCUGAGGCACGAAAGCCAGGGUAGCGAACGGG
This 253-nucleotide ribosomal RNA is filed under the name uncultured bacterium. Its description in RNAcentral is "partial 16S ribosomal RNA". It matches the Rfam family "Bacterial small subunit ribosomal RNA", at positions 524 to 776 of the family's 1533-position model. The record is from RNAcentral.